This 1071-nucleotide long non-coding RNA is filed under the name Salvator merianae (Argentine black and white tegu). RNAcentral describes it as "lncRNA (ENSSMRG00000003943.1)". The record is from RNAcentral. Lineage: Eukaryota; Metazoa; Chordata; Lepidosauria; Squamata; Teiidae.
CUGCCCCUAGUAUCAGUUUUCUAGACAUUUUAUAUACACAGAUUGUUCUGUGUGGUGAGGUAGGAAUUCAUUUAAAUGCUCUUUUGCUCUGUCAGGCAGUUGCACAAGCAGAAUUUCAGAAGGCAGUCACGUGUGUUCAGCGGUGCAAAGAUAUCCUGUUCCGACUGCCAAAGGAGGUUAGUAACAGAUUGUGCACAGAUUUUAAUAUUAUGUAAAAUUCUACUAUUUUGUAUCCAUCUUCUACUUUAACAUGGCAAUUCAAGAAUAUGAUAUAAAUUACUUUGUGUUUAAUUACAGGCCUGCUACCUUUCCUUGCUAUGUUAUAAUUUUGGUGUAGAAACCUAUGAACUGAAAAGAUAUGAGCAGAGUUCCUUUUGGCUGAGUCAGAGCUAUGAAAUUGGAAAGAUGGAUAAGAUGUAUUCAACUGGACAUGAAAUGCAGGCUAAAGUGCUGCGGUUAUUGGCUACUGUGUAUUUGGACUGGGACUACAAACAAUAUCAAGAGAAAGCUCUCAGAGCAGUUACCUUGGCUAAUGAGGUGAUGGAGCUCUACACACAUUUGAAAAACAUGGAGUAUCCAAUGUGUUUGUGCUUUAACUGUGACUGCAUCUACUCAGGGAGGUAUAGGAUGCUCCUCUCCAAAAAGAUGUGGGGUUUCCUGCAGCAGCACCUAGCCCUGGGGGUGCAUUUUGGGCUCAAUGAUACCCUCCCAGUCAGCGUUUGAAAGAGAUACAUGUCUAAUGCAAAAUGACCUUUCUUCUUUAUCCACUACGCCCACUAUAGCUCCUCAGUAGAAAAGAGGCCUUUUUCUUCCUUUUGUUCCCUCUCAAAAUCUACCAGAACUGUGAAGCAGUACUAUNGUGGGAUUAGAGGACAAAAGGAUGUUCAUAGGAACUUCUCCUAUUUAGUAGUAUAAAUUAUCAAUCAGACUCAAUUGGGAUUAGUAAACAGAUUAAAACAUUUAUUGAGAAAAACCCAAGGUUUUCUUGAUCUCNUUGCUAUCAGAUUUAAGACCUCAAGAUAUAGGGCUAAAUUAAAUAAAUAAUAAAUAAAUAAAGCCUGAAGUAAGUUC